This 254-nucleotide ribosomal RNA is filed under the name uncultured bacterium. RNAcentral's name for it is "partial 16S ribosomal RNA". It matches the Rfam family "Archaeal small subunit ribosomal RNA", at positions 474 to 727 of the family's 1478-position model. The record is from RNAcentral.
UACCAGCACCCCGAGUGGUCGGGACGUUUAUUGGGCCUAAAGCAUCCGUAGCCGGUUCUACAAGUCUUCCGUUAAAUCCACCUGCUUAACAGAUGGGCUGCGGAAGAUACUAUAGAGCUAGGAGGCGGGGAGAGGCAAGCGGUACUCGAUGGGUAGGGGUAAAAUCCGUUGAUCCAUUGAAGACCACCAGUGGCGAAGGCGGUUUGCCAGAACGCGCUCGACGGUGAGGGAUGAAAGCUGGGGGAGCAAACCGG